RNAcentral lists this ribosomal RNA (502 nucleotides) under uncultured bacterium. Its description in RNAcentral is "partial 16S ribosomal RNA". It matches the Rfam family "Bacterial small subunit ribosomal RNA", at positions 28 to 507 of the family's 1533-position model. The record is from RNAcentral.
GACGAACGCUGGCGGCGUGCCUAAUACAUGCAAGUCGAACGAACCGCGACUAGGUGCUUGCACUUGGUCAAGGUGAGUGGCGAACGGGUGAGUAACACGUGGGUAACCUACCUCAUAGUGGGGGAUAACAGUCGGAGACGACUGCUAAUACCGCAUAGGACAUAGGAUCACAUGAUUCUGUGAGGAAAGGUGGCGCAAGCUAUCGCUAAGAGAUGGACCCGCGGUGCAUUAGCUAGUUGGUAGGGUAAAGGCCUACCAAGGCGAUGAUGCAUAGCCGACCUGAGAGGGUGAUCGGCCACAUUGGGACUGAGACACGGCCCAAACUCCUACGGGAGGCAGCAGUAGGGAAUCUUCCGCAAUGGACGCAAGUCUGACGGAGCAACGCCGCGUGAGUGAAGAAGGUCUUCGGAUCGUAAAGCUCUGUUGUUAGAGAAGAACAGCGCAUAGAGUAACUGUUAUGCGUGUGACGGUAUCUAACCAGAAAGCCACGGCUAACUACGUG